Molecule: non-coding RNA, 77 nt
Organism: Podarcis lilfordi (Lilford's wall lizard)
Lineage: Eukaryota; Metazoa; Chordata; Lepidosauria; Squamata; Lacertidae
Source: the annotation of a GenBank genome assembly
GGCCAUAGCUCAGUGGUAGAGUUUAUGCCUUACAUGCAGAAGAUCUCAGGUCCCAGGUUCAAUCCCUGGCAUCUUCA